This 24-nucleotide small nuclear RNA is filed under the name Arabidopsis thaliana (thale cress). RNAcentral describes it as "snRNA_01330". Lineage: Eukaryota; Viridiplantae; Streptophyta; Magnoliopsida; Brassicales; Brassicaceae. The record is from RNAcentral.
UUGAAAAUCCCCAAAAAGUGGAUU